Molecule: long non-coding RNA, 653 nt
Filed under: Heterocephalus glaber (naked mole-rat)
Lineage: Eukaryota; Metazoa; Chordata; Mammalia; Rodentia; Bathyergidae
Description: lncRNA (ENSHGLG00100030062.2)
Source: RNAcentral
CUCCCUACUCAGCCGCCUUGAGGGUCCCAAGCGUCCCGGUCUCUGGCCUGGACCCACUGGGCUAAGGGCGCCCAGGCCAGCUCAGGGUGAUCCUGCAGGAGUCUCUGGAGACAAGGGCGAGCCUGUGCUCGGCUGCCAGGGACGUCCCCCCGGGAUGAGCCCCGAGCUAUCCCCGCGGCCCUGGGCCAGGCUGCCCCGCGGGGCGCUGGGACCUGACCGGGCAGGGACCUCUGAGACUCCGGAGACCUGCGCGCUUGGACAACAGGAGCCAGAAGACCCAGCAGACAUGAGUGAAAACAGCUGCCUGCACAAGUUGUCCCCUAACAGGUACAGCCAAGAGUCAGAAGCACAGAGGGAGCUGGGGAAGCGACAUUUCUUACAGAGCCCACUGCUGUCCCUGUGUGAAGUGGCUCAUAUCAGGUUUUUGUUAAUCCAGUGGGUUUGGUGGAAUUAAAGAGCUGCUGUGAAAAAAAAAAAAAACAACUCAGCAACCUGCUGGUGCCAGAACAGCCUUGUCAAGCUAGCAGGUAGCUGUGCGUUUAGCCUUUAUCCUGCACACAAUAAGGCCAAUCACCAGGGCCUGUAGAAAGAGCAUUGAACUGUCGACACAGGACAUUUCUGUUGAAAGUAGUCCUUUUGAUUUCAUCUUCCUG